CAACCCAUGUGAACUUACCACUGUUGCCUCGGCGCAGUAUCCUGUCCUCGUGGCAGGUUCCGCCGGUGGACUACUAAACUCUUGUUAAUUUUGGCAUUCUGAAUCAAAAACUUAAUAAGUUAAAACUUUCAACAACGGAUCUCUUGGUUCUGGCAUCGAUGAAGAACGCAGCGAAAUGCGAUAAGUAAUGUGAAUUGCAGAAUUCAGUGAAUCAUCGAAUCUUUGAACGCACAUUGCGCCCAUUAGUAUUCUAGUGGGCAUGCCUGUUCGAGCGUCAUUUCAACCCUUAAGCUUAGCUUAGUGUUGGGAGACUGCCUAACCGCAGCUCCUCAAAUUCAGUUGGCAGAGUGUAGGUGUGCUCUGAGCGUAGUAAUUCUUUAUCUCGCUUCUGAAAGCCUUAUACUGUCGCCACAAACCUAUUAUCUUUUUAAUGGUUGACCUCGGAUCAGGUAGGAAUACCCGCUGAACUUAAGCAUAUC
This 479-nucleotide ribosomal RNA is filed under the name Monographella sp. XAE_063. RNAcentral describes it as "eukaryotic LSU rRNA". The stretch from base 124 to 277 matches the Rfam family "5.8S ribosomal RNA". The record is from RNAcentral. Lineage: Eukaryota; Fungi; Ascomycota; Sordariomycetes; Amphisphaeriales; Hyponectriaceae.